Molecule: ribosomal RNA, 437 nt
Filed under: uncultured bacterium
Lineage: Bacteria
Description: bacterial SSU rRNA
Rfam family: Bacterial small subunit ribosomal RNA
Source: RNAcentral
UGGGAGAUAUUGCGCAAUGGGCGAAAGCCUGACGCAGCGACGCCGCGUGAGGGAUGAAGGUUUUCGGAUCGUAAACCUCUGUCGGAAGGGAAGAAGGCGCACCGUGCCAAUCAGCGGUGUGUUGACGGUACCUUCAAAGGAAGCGCCGGCUAACUCCGUGCCAGCAGCCGCGGUAAUACGGAGGGCGCAAGCGUUAAUCGGAAUUACUGGGCGUAAAGCGCGCGUAGGCUGUUUCGUAAGUCAGGGGUGAAAUCCCACGGCUCAACCGUGGAACUGCCCUUGAUACUGCGGGACUUGAAUCCGGGAGAGGUGGCGGAAUUCCAGGUGUAGGAGUGAAAUCCGUAGAUAUCUGGAGGAACACCAGUGGCGAAGGCGGCCACCUGGCCCGGUAUUGACGCUGAGGUGCGAAAGCGUGGGAGCAAACAGGAUUAGAUACC